Molecule: ribosomal RNA, 253 nt
Filed under: uncultured bacterium
Lineage: Bacteria
Description: partial 16S ribosomal RNA
Rfam family: Bacterial small subunit ribosomal RNA
Source: RNAcentral
UACGUAGGGUGCGAGCGUUAAUCGGAAUUACUGGGCGUAAAGCGUGCGCAGGCGGUUUUUUAAGUCUGAUGUGAAAGCCCCGGGCUCAACCUGGGAAUGGCAUUUGGGACUGCAAGGCUGGAGUUUGGCAGAGGAGACUGGAAUUCCUGGUGUAGCAGUGAAAUGCGUAGAGAUGUGGAGGAAUACCGAUGGCGAAGGCAGCCCCCUGGGAUAACACUGACGCUCAUGCACGAAAGCGUGGGGAGCAAACAGG